Molecule: long non-coding RNA, 16975 nt
Organism: Alligator mississippiensis (American alligator)
Lineage: Eukaryota; Metazoa; Chordata; Crocodylia; Alligatoridae
Exons: 3
Source: RefSeq, a predicted model, not a curated record
GGGCUGCCUGCUGUGCACUGGGCUCUGCACCCCACUGCCAUUGCCUCUGGAACCACGUGCCUUCCACCACUGGGCAGGCAGGGGACACGAUGCAGUCAGCAUGCAAAAGGCACAUGGAGUCGCACGUGGCACCAGAGACAGUGGGGUGCAGGCCCCAGUGUGCAGCGGGCAGCCUGCUUCCACCCCACACACAAAUCUGGGGAGACACAUGCCAACCAUGUCUCCCCCGGGGUGUGCACAGUGGCAGAAUUCCCCCUGCACCCCUGGACAAGCUGCCUGGACUCUGGCCAUCUCACCACCCACCCUGGAGCCCCAUUCACCCCAGUCUCUGCCCCUGCCUCUGCCUCACUCCUUCCCUCACUAUGAGGGCCUUGAUUUCCCCCGCCUUCCCUCCCCCACACUCCUUCCCCCGACAUGCUGGGUGCUGCUCCACACACAGCACCAUUCCUGGCUACAUGCAGCAGGCUGUGGCUGGGUGUCUGUUUGUGUGCACACCCCUCCCCCCAGCCUUCUGCUUACCACUCACAGGCCACCUGUGUAGCACUGGUGGUAUGCAUACCAAAGUUUGCAAACUGCUGCCCUAAGCCACAGAUGUCAUCCUCAUGAUGUUCUCUUUACAUGCACCACCCCGCUCUGGGCCAGAGACUCAUCAGUCUUUCCCUCAGAGUCACUCUGGAUCCUCAGACUCCUCAGCCUCUCACUUAGCCUAUCCCUGGGCUGCCAGACCCCUUGAUCUCUCACGCAGACCCUCUCUGGGCUGCCAGAUCCCUCUGGUCUCACACUGGUCUCUCUCUUAGUCCCACACUGGGCCCUCAGACCCCUCAGUCUCUCACUCAGCCCCUACCUGCACUGCCAGACCUCUUGAUCUCUCACAUGAUUCCUUCUUUGGGUCUUCAGAUCCCUGGUCUCACUCUCUCCCGGCCACUCUCUGGGCCUCUGGAUCUAUCUUGUCCCACUCUCUCCCAGGCACUCUCUGGACCUCUGGAUCCUUCUCAUCUCACUCUCUCCCUUCCUUUUCUGUUAGGGUGUGGCCCCUCAGCCUUCUCCCUCCAUGGGGUGACCCACAAGGCAGUGGAAGCUGAGGCUUUCAGGCACCCCAUAUUCACCUUUCCCUGGGGUGCAAAUGCAUAGCAUUUCAUGGAGGCUGUGCCGCCAUAGGCAGCUCCACCAUGCCAACCAGCCCCAGUAGGGUGCAGUUUCAGGUCUUAAUCAAAACCAAUUUCUAGGCCAUCCUGCUCUAUCCUGGUCCCUCUGGAGCUUCCCCUUUGUGCGGGCUGGGCGCAAGGCGUGGCCCACCUUUGCGCACGCGGGCUGUGGCCAGCAGCCCGGGCAUGCGGGGUCGGAGAAGACCGGGGGCGAGCUAGAAUUAGUCACGGAUGUGUAGUGGUUGAUUUAAAGAUUGUUUACUUACACCAAAGAUGGUCGUGGUGUAGGCUGGACAGUUUUCCAGGCACAGCUCCGCUUAAAUCCUCAUUUGAGGAUUACGACAAGUUCACUCUCUCCAACGGAGUUAUUGAAGCUCCGUGGGUUCGUUUCUUUUGUUCCAGGAAGGGAUACAUCUAGGAAUCUAUUGGCGACGGGGAGAGGCCAGAGGCUGUUCAGGCCCCUGUUGCCUUUUAAGAAAUGCGUUGGGUCCGUAAGGAUCUGCAGCGCUUGGAGAUCUUCACACAAGGCGAAGGUUUUUUCUCUCUUGAACUCCAAUUUCUCUCCAGCUUGGGCGGAAACUACUCAAGCUCUUUAUAUGGCUAGCAAGCCAAUCGCUAGCCGCCACGUGUGCAUAAUUUCACGUGAACCAAUAAUGUGGUUCAAAUUUGAAUACAAAUGGUGGGAACUCUUUGCACCGAGCAUUUCUUAGAUGCAAAAAGAAAUGCACCAUGCAAAGAAAGCUACAAAUUGGCGGGAAAUUCUCCGUUGCACCGGGGUUCUCUUCUGCAGCAGAAAACUCCACUGUGCAAAGAAGCUGCAAUUUAGCGGGAAAAUAAUUUAGCAGUGCCGAAGCACACACAAAACAAAAAUCACAACUUUGGGUUGUGACAACCUUGAUGUCACACACCCCUCCUGGACUGCAGGCUUCCAGCCCCAUUACUUGCCCUUCUUGGGCUACAGACCUCUGGGCCUCCUGGUCCUGGUUUAAUCUCACACCUGGGCCCCCUGGCCCCUGGUUCAAUUUCUCAGACCCCUUUCCUUGAACCCUUCUCUUCAGAUGGCCGUACAUCAUCCAUCUUCAUCCUAGGCCACAUGCUCCUUGACUCCCUUCCUAUCUGGCUGUGGCCACACAUGGACUUUUGGCCUACCCUGGGCCCUGGCCCCACCCAGACCAGGAAGAUCUUUGGGAUCCCUUGGCUCCAGCAAUCUCUGGCAAUGGUCCCUCUUGGAACUUUGGCCUAUCCUAGGCCCUGGACCUACCCAGGCCAGCGAGAUUCUGUGGGUCAGUCCUUCAGCUGUCAGUCCUCUCACUUGUCCCAUGUGUGCCCAACUUCAGGCCCUGGAGGAGCAGGUGAGGGAAUUCCAGGAGGAUGUCAGCAGGCUGCAGGUGAUCAGGGUGGUUGAGGAAGAGAUUGACGGGUACUUCCAUUCUCUGCUGGACCACACACCUGGUGGGAAGGUAUCACAGGCAGCAGUCGAUGCAGAAGGGUGGAAGACAGUCACCUCCAGAUCCAGACGUCACAGACCUAGACGUCAUACUACUGGUACAACUCCCACAGUGCAGCUGGGAAACAGUAUGAGGCCCUAGCAUCACUGGGAGAGAGUACAGCAACAGAGGCCACGUCUACAGUUACUACCAGGCAGGCUGAGAGGCAACUGGGCAGCCAGAGGAGAAGACAUCAUGACGACUCCCUCCUGAGAGGAACGGAGGGAGCCAUCUGCUGCCCAAAUCCUACAGUAUGGGAGGUAUGUUGCCUGCCCAGAGCUAGGAUUCGGAAUAUGACAGUGAGGCUUCCAGACCUAAUCAGAUCCUCAUCCAUGUUGGAAUGAAUGAUGCAGCCCGGAGUGGUCCGGGAUGGGUCAUGGCUGACUACAUGGCUCUGGGAGACAGGCUUAGAGGCUCGGGGACACAAGUAGUCUUCUCAUUGGUCCUCAUGGCCAGCGGUCGUGGCCAGCACCAUGGCAACUGCAUUGAGGAGGUCAACUCAUGGCUUCAGAGCCACCAUGAGGGGUUUGGCUUUCUAGACCAUGAUCCUUACUUCCAGGAUAAGACCUUGCUGGGAUGAGACAGCCUACAUCUCUUUCCAAAAGGUAAGAGUCUGUUCUCUUACAGGCUGGCAGACCUUCUACAUAGAGGUUUAAACUAGCUUUGUCAGGGGACAGGGGUGCCGAGGUCAGGACGAGAGCAGGUAGGACAAGCCAUGAACUGCAUGCUGGAAAUGAUCAGGUAAGUACUAAGGGGCCCACUAAAAAUCAGGCUAGGGGAAUACUAAGGGCACCUAUAGGGGGGUUAGGUGUCUCUAUACUAAUGCUAGAAGUAUGGGAAACAAGCAGAAGCAACUUGCACUCCUGCUUGCAGACAAAGGCUUAGACCUGGUUGGUCUAAAAGAAACCUGGUGGGACCCUACCCAUGACUGGGCAGUGGGCAUUGAAGGCUACAGGCUAUACAGGCAGGAUAGAUCUAUCCUGCUCUAUAUGUUAGGGAACAUUAUACAUCCUCUGUAAUAAAGAUGGGGACAGAGGACUGGCAAAUCGAAGGCCUGUGGGUCAGAUUACAAGGGGGUAGAGAGGUAAGGGACUUGGUAGUGGGGGUGUAGAACCUCACGCCAGGGUUUCUGAAAAUUUCUAAGCGCUGGUUUUUGUUUGCAGUUUUACAAAAAAUUUUAAUUGCUUGGCCAAAACAAAAUUUGUUUUACUUUAAUUUGAAACAAAAUGAUUCCUUUUCCAUUCAACUUGAUUUGAAUUUACAGUGAAAAAAUGCUGUUUUUUGGAUUGUCUUUUUCUUUGCUGGAAAAUAGGAAUAAACAUGAGAAAAGGAGAAGAAUAGCAGAAUAUAUUAAAGUUGGAACACUUCAAAGAACACAGUUGUUAAAAGUUAUUUCAUAAAAAAGUCAUCAUAGAAAAAUGUUGACCAGCCCUACUUUUUUUCCAAAUCAAUCUGGUUACAUUAGUGCAACCCUCACACACACGCUCCUAAAUUGGUUUAAGAAUUCAUGAUAUCGAUUGAGUUUAAUCUGAUAACAAACCAAAUUAACUUAAAUCUGUAUAAAGGCACUCUAACUGAUUUAAGAGUAUCCACGGCAAUAUAACCACAUCAAUUUCAAAAUCCAAUUUCUGUGUAUAGUACAGAUUUUGAGUCAAUGAAAUAGCAUAUUGCCACACAAUAAUUGUCUCCUGCUUUGAAAAACAAACCUACCUUUAUUCUAACCUUUAUUUAACAUUCUUAUUUGAGAUUCUUGUUUGGUGACAAGUUUCAGUGAUUUUGCUUUACAUGGUCCUAGGCUAGGGAAUAGCCACAUAGAAGUAUGAGUCAAUGAAGCCAAAAUGGAUAAAGCUCAGAACUUUCCCUCCAUUUUAAACCUGAUUUGUCUUAUCAUGACUGCCAUGUGGCCAUGAGAAAGGCAUUUCUUUCUCAAAGAUAUAAAGACCUCCCAUAUUUAAGUUAAAUUCCUGGCUCCACAAAACUUCUAUUGAUUUUAACGAGGCAAGGAUUUCACUUCCAGAGCCAGGUCUUCUUCCUCGUUUCCUUUGCAAGUAGGUGGUUAAAAAGGCCUACAUAUUCCAGGACACUAACAUCUCUUAGAAGGAGCUCCCUAAAACAGUUCUGGUUUGGAGAAAUUCUCCACUGAAUUUCUCCACUGUAAAUACCACACUUGUUAAAUGUAUUAGGGAAAACCAGCAGAAAAAAAAUGUAAUCUCCUGUGAAAUCUGGCAGCAUUGGGAUGUCAGUAUCCGAGUACAAAGAAAGGAAAAGUCUUGAACGACAAUCUAGACAUCAUCAUUGUGGUUGUAGAGGCAACACAGGCCAAAGUGGGCUAGACGAUCUCAUAGGGCGCCCACAGAUGUUUAGGCAGCCUACUGGGGAGCUGCUCUAACUCAUGGAACUUUACACAAAGCACCAAAUAUUAGAGUGCUGUUGAACCCCAUGUGUGUUUGCCUGUUGGGUGGAAGGAGGGGGGAGAGGGUUGAGUCUGCCUGCAGUGGCCCUGACCAGCAGGCAGAGGCACUCCAGCAGCCUCCCAGGAGACUGCCAGACUACCCCUCUCCCCAACCAUGACCCCUGUCAUGUGGCCCCUGCCAAAUACCCCUACUGGAGUUGCCGGGGGAGUUGGGCUGGGCUGCAUGGAGCAGGGAGCUCUGUUUCCUCCCCAUAAGCAUCAGGUUUCCUAAGUUGCUCUGCCUUAGAGAGACUCUAGCUAAUUGCUGAUUUUUAAAAUUAAUUUAAAAGGGUUUUUUUGUGCUAUUGGCCAUUUUAAAAGCACUCUGCAGCCAUGAGCAUUUAUGUUAUAGCUGUAGAAUGGUUUCAGGGGCCUCAUUUCAUGAAAAAUUAAUUUCAAAUGUAAGUGUCAAAAUGUGUAAAUUUCCUUGUGUAGAGCUCAAUUUUUCAGCCACGUUAAGAACAUAUCAGCAAGACUGAAAAAGUUGUGGGAACAAACGAGAAAAGUCCAGUGGCCAUUUAUUAAAGUCACCAAUUUCCAACAGUUACCACAAAGUAGAAUUUCAGAUGCUGUAGCUAGAAUCUUUUCUAAGUAGAGAGAAAGCAGUGAUGUCUCAAAUAAUACUAGGUGGUCAUUUGAAGAAAAUGUAGACAGUCUUCAGGUGACCAUGUGAACUGAGAGAGUUAGUACCCCAUAUCAUGUCAGGGUGUGAGAGAACCCCUGCCCUCCCUGGGCUCCGAACCUCACACACACCCACAGCCCCUCACCAGACAUCUGAAUACUGUGCUCUAUCAAGACAUCCCUGAAAGCAUCUCUGGAUAGGUAAGUUUAUACUAUCUUUUUUUCCAAUGUAGAAUUAUUUUAUAUGGCUACCGUAACUGAUAACACAAUGUUUUAUGAUUACUAAAUGUUUUGAUGUUGUUUUAAUACAUAGUCUGUAUUACAGGUUGGCUAGGCGCUAUGAGUGUAUCAGCCGUGAGGCUGCUGGGUUUGGGAUCGAGGAGGCAAGUCAGGAGUGAAGUAAAGGCAAAUUUACUUAAAGCUUAGCAUACAACAGUUAACAGAAAGGUUAAUGUGACAAAUAGAUAGUACAGUAUUAAAGAGCUAAUAGGAAUAAUAACAACAGAUAGACAAAAUGACAGAGUUCCCACAUGGGGUUGGCAACUUAUCAGAAGUCCCUCUAUGCCAGGUGCAUGCCAAGUUGUUCCAGUGAAGUCAGGCGUCCCCAAUCAACACUGUCCGAGGGGUCACCGGUAAGGUCCCUUGGUCAGGAUCCAGUCUUCACUCACCCUGGGAGUUCGGGUUUCAGGCUUGGUACAGCGAUGGUCCUUCUGUCCCAUCCUUCUAACUGGUUACUUGACAUGCAUGUUCCUUUAUGCCUUAUUUUAUGCUAAUCUGUUGGCUUUAGAGUCACUCACAAUUGUGCCCUAUAGCUGUUACCCUAUGGGAUCAAAAGGUGUUAGAAAUUAUCAUGAAAGGCUAACGCCUGGACUCGGAUUCACUCAAUAAGCAAAUUACACCACAUUACUUUGAGGUUUGAAAUUAGCAUUACUCUUCCCAAGCUCAACCCCUUAGUUUCUUAUUCCCAGAUUCCUUGGAAUGUGCUAAUUAUAUCAGGUGGUCAGAUCUGGUUAUGGCUUGACCUUUAAAAAACCUGUUAGAUCAGCUAAUCUUAUAGUUCUGCUUGUUUUGGGGGCCCAUGAUCAGUACAAACAGUUAGAUUCAACACUGGUUAACUUGUGACAGACAAAUUCCACUUGCAGGUUGCAAACUUGCAAGCUUUGCAUUAGCUAAUCUUGAGUGCUUAGACAAUUGCCUGAAUGUCUCUAAGACCAUGUAUUUAUUGCAACAACAUUUAUUCUGACAUAGACAUAGGACUUCGUUUUAUAACAACAUCUAAGGAUUAUAUUGAGUAAUAUCAAUCCUAUAACUAAACCUUUUACUACUGCAAGCCAAGGAAAAGGAGCACCUUUGGUAAAGGUAUACAUUUGUACAGUACAGGCCACCUCAUACCACUUACACAGUGGGGGAAUAUUAGUAGUACAUUAGAUAAUUCACCCUCCUUCUUGAGCUAUGAGGGCAUGUUGUUUUGCUUUUCAGGCAGCUUCAAACAAACCCUUAAUGUGGGCUGCCACUUCAUUCCAUCCCUCUAACUUGGGCAUAUCUACAUCUUGAACCCAGGAUUUUGGAAGACUUAGGUUAAGGGUGAUGCUUUCUAAUUGGGUUUUUGGCCACAUUAAAGUAGUUUCCUGGUGUUGGACAUAUAAAAUAGCUGAUGCUCCUUGAAGAUCUUGAGCUUCUGCACAGCAGCUGGCACAAGAGGCCCAAUACAUGCCGUUGGGAUGGUACAAGCGGCUAGGACCUUCCCAAAAAACUCGCUGGGCUAGGGUAAUAUAGGGAGUUGCUGGUAGGGUUGUUAUACAAAUCAUGUUGGGGGGACUAUUGGGCCACCCCCUACAUAAAGUUCCCAAGCCUAUUAAAAUACCAUUUACAAGGUACACCGGGGAUUGAGCUAAAUACUUGGGGCCUUCUGGGUUUACAAUUUCCCAAAUGGGAUGAUUUAAGUCCCUGUCCCACAUACACCCACCCCCCAGUCCUGUUGUUAAGAGAUGGGCAGUGGACCAUGUGCAGUUUGCUACCCAAUGCACAACAAAAAAGCAUUUUGUAUUGCUACAUCCCUCCCAUCGUGUGCUCCAUGUGUCUUGGUAAACUAACCGUUGGGCUAAAGCUGGGGGUAGCCCAUGGUGCUCUAAACUGAUAGGCCAUUCUUUAUGUCUGAGAUCACUUAUUACCUUGGAGAAAUAAAGGUUAAGUGAAAGCUGUACUUGGGCACAAGCAGUGCUCCAGGUUUGAUUAGCAUUGGCUUGGAAGGCCACAUGCAUUAAAAGGUGACUUAUUUUUGCUGCUUCUCGGCCAAUGGUUGCCACUAACUCAUCAGUGUACUUUAGGGUCAUGUUAUUAAUCAUACCCACCUUUAGUGAGAAAACCUAUGGCUCGCCAUAUAUUCAUGAUUCCUUGAGUGUUUUUCUGAGAUUUAUCUAUGUUCCAAACUCCCAUGGCUGAAUUGAUCACAUUCCACAUGUGAUCUAGGGCAUCUUUUUUUUUCUCGGGUGGUUGAAAGUUGGGCUCCGGGUUGGAAAACAGGUGGCCAGGCCCAUCGCAGCAUGUUUUCCGCCAACCAAGCACCCAUAGAGCAGUUGGGAAAUGCUGCUAUGACAAACCAUUGCUCGGGCUUAAAUGUGAUGCAAGCAUUAAACAAGGAGUCAUUAAGGAGGACCGGAGCCUUGGUUUGGAAACUCCAACAUGGGGUGAUAUUAGUCAAACUGGGUAGCAGAUACACCUGUGGUAGCUCCUUCUGGAUUAACAAUGUGCAUCCCUGGUUAAUGCAGAAAAUGGCUAGGGGUUCCCCUGCAGGUGCUUAACCAUCUCCCUUCUCCCUGAGAUUGGUAAACCUCCCAAUCAGGUCAGUCUAUUGGUUUGGGUGAGUUCCUGCCUGUGUACUUAAAUUUACAUUGCCGCGGCAUGACCAUGGCUUUGGUAUCUUGCAAAGAUGAUUCUGGCAUGGUGCCCCCUAAGGGCUUGGCCAGGUGUUCUGGGCUGACCAGGGCAGUGCCCUGCAGACUUUCCCAAACUGCUUGGCGAUAUGCAGCUACUGUGUAUUCAAGUCCGUGAGCGUGCCCUCCUUCAUCCAUAUGGCAAAACCACAAAAGACCCGGAAUGUAGGAUUUGUUAGACUCCCAUUCCGUGGACCUCCACUUGAUAGCAUAGGUGCCGUUUUUAAACCACUACAGUACCUUGCUGUAUCUGGAGGACCAGUGUAUUUGGUGAGCCACACACCAUUACACCAAAGUAUCAUUGGGCAGGGGAAUCAAUGGAGCUAUCAUCUCCCAUGGAAGUGGGGUGGGAGGGUUCGGCCACUUUCUUGGGCUUCAGGUGGGUGUAGAAUUUUGAGCUACAGGCGUGGCAGUGGUAGUGAUCACAUCAGGACUCAGAGUGGGCAGGAUAUCUGCAGGCAGAAUGUAACAGCACCAGGGCCAUUGCCAGAAACCACAAUCCCCCCCUGUUCCGUACUCAUUUUUUCCCAGCCUGGCAUAUGGGAGAAAACCGAACAACCACCCCAUUCCACAAUAACAUUUACAGGUCCCCCCUUGCCAAUCUACAAUCCACUGUCGGCAACUUUCAGGCCAGUUCCGCACUUCUUCAAUUAUAGCAGGCCUCUCCCAGUAGCGCAGCCUGACUGAGGCUUUGGCAGUGGGUGCAACCCGGGGCAUGGGAGCAUGUGAAUGCCCCACAUUAGUCAAACAGUGACAGACAAGCAGCAGUUCUAUUAAGAUGGCAUUCCACCCCUUCAUUGUUAGACAAGGGUGGCGGGUGGCAGUGUCACUCUGGAGCAGGGUUGUGACCCCAGGCUGCCUCCAAGGCUGCUACGGCUGUGCCCGCUAAUGGACCCAAUCUGCAGGAACAAGGAAAAAUGGAGUCUGGCUUCCAUUAGAUGGAUCUCACCUCAACACCCACCAUGAGUUAUGUGUGUCUCAUGCCAUUAACACCCCUUCCCACUUGUCCCCCUGCAGGUGCCUAACCACUGCCUGUCCCCUGCCUGGAGCUUUCCUCAGCCACCCCUUGGCCGUUCCACUGCCAGCUCGCGGGGCCCCCCCUGGCCAAAUGCUUGCUGCAUGGUGUUUCCUCUGGGGUGGGGCCGAUUGUUGGCCCAGUUAAUUGAGCAAUCAGGUGUAAGUCCCAGUUCUUGAGGACCAGGCUAGCUGUUGCCCUGAGGGGUCAGGUCAAAGCUCAGGAUCUCAAUAUUGCACUGUUAGACAGGAGGGUGUGCUGUACAAUUGCACAUGCACACAUAAAAAUAAAUUAAGCACACGUACACUCACUAGGUGCAUACACCCCUACUAGGCAUACACACCAACACUAGCAGCUCAGAUACACACACGUUCAAAAUAAUUAGUCUAGGUUCAUGCACACCUAUCACCAGUUUAAGCCCAAACACACACCAAAUUUAGACAGAAUCAGUUACUAGUAACUAACACCUGCACAUCCAAUACACAUAUGUGGAUUACUAAUUCAUAUACCACACACACACACAAUGAUAUUUAUAUAUGUGUAUAUAUGUGUAUUCACUAAUUCACACACAUACCACCCACCUACACAUACACACAGGUGAAUUCCUAAGUUGGGUGUUGUGAUGUGUAUGUAUGUAUAUGCUCAAUGUACUUGGGAUACCUGGGGAAAGUUUAAGGUAAGAAAGUAAAAGUGUAAGGAUUUAAAGUUACCAGGACUGGGACUAGAACCAGUAGACUGCAGGGGCCUGGGCUGAAGAACUGAGGCUUGGGGUAACUUUAGGUUAAUUGAUCUUAAUUGAUUAAAAGACAAUGCCCAAAGCCUGCAGAACAGGGAAGCAUGCCGGCACAGAGGCUGGGUUUGGAGCCAGAGCUACGGAGAAGCUGAAAAGGUAGAUGGGGAGAGGGAAAAAUGGGACUAAGGGAAAGUGUGGGUGUUAAAGAGGGGCUCUGGGUGUGCGGGAGUCAGAGGAUGGCUCUGGGGCACCUAGAGAAGCCUGGGAAGCUGCAGGGGUGGCGGGGGAACGCCUGAAAACAGAGAGACAGACAGCAGAAAAUUGCAGGAAGAGCAGCAGGAGAGACUGAAAGGCAGCAGGAAAGCAGAGAAAUGCAGUAGAAAGUCACAGGGAAAAAGCAGUAGGAGCGUGGGAAGCAGGGGGACAGCAGAAAAUUACAGGAAAAGCGGCAGAAGAGACUGAGAGGAAGCAGAAAGUCACAGGGAAAAGGCAGUAGGAAAAGGAGAGGAGAUCGGGAAACUAGUGGAGAGGGGUGGAGGCUGGAAUUGAGAGAGAGAGAGAGAGAAUGAGGCUGGAAUUUAAGAUAAGGAAGGGACUAGGAUUCAGUAAAACAUGACCCAACUUGGGGUUGCAAAUGACAGUGGUUUUAUUGAACAGGGGAGAUGGUAACACAAUGCCACAUUGGUUCCCUUGCACCCACACACCCACCCACCCACACACAGUGGCAGCUUGGGUUACAGAGACUUGGUGCAGGGGCUGAAGUCCACUGAAAUCCAGUAAGAGAGAGACAGAGAGAGUAAGUGAGAGUCCAAAUUGUAGGAGGAGGUGUACAGGUAAUAUCUACCUAUCCCAGGCUGGAAGUUGAUCCUCGAUGGCCAGUUGGGGGUCUCCUUCAGCUUGGUGAUGUCCAGAGGGUGUCGCUGGCAGGGCCUCUGGAGUGGAUAGGUGAUGUGAAGCUGGUCUGGUCCAGAUGGAAAUGGUGUUCCCACUGUGUCUGUCUUCACUGCCCCUUUUUAUAGGGGCAGACCGUGUGUGACCCUAGUGACAGGAGGCAUGCCCAGGCAAGGGUCAGCCCCGAUGUACUGAGCAUGUGUGAUCCAUGCAGGGAUGUGUAGUUUCGGGUGUCUGUCAUGGUGGGGUACAAUGAUAGAGUUGCUGUUUCUGCAGGGUCUUUUGUUUUUCAAAUGCUGGUCUUGUCUCUGUUCCUGGGUGAGGUCCAUGGUUCCUGGGUGAAUUAAUGCGAGGUGAUGGCCCAGUCAUUACAGGCCAUUCAGUAGAGGCCUCCUACCAUUGUAUUUCAGUCAUUCUCAAUCAUUCUCAUUCAUCGGGGAACCAAUUUACAUGGGAGGGGUACAAUGAAUCAUAUUAUUGCAACAUGGGAUGCCCAGGCAGAGGACACAAGAUGGAGGCCUGACAUAUAAAAUGGAAACUUGACAUGACUUUGAUUCACUUAAAAACACAGGCCUAAACCAUAUAAUAUCCAUAAUAAUAAAAAUCAAUACGACAAUAUACAACAGUAAAAAUUAGUACAAACCUAAUAAUUAUACGAUAUAAAACAAUGGAUAUCCAAAACCAAAAACUUGCUAGCAAAAUAAAAUGUUUAAAGCUUAUCCUAAGUUUGAGCUUACUUAUACUUAUCUAUAGAGAAUAGAGAGGGAGAGAAAAGUCAGAAAUGGUUGGGGAAGGGGAGGGAAUGCAUUUUAAAAUUAAAAAAAAGAAAAACAGGGUUUUGCUACACAGCGGCCAUUCUCAGGUUGCACUUUAACAUACCGUUGGCCCGUUCUACUAGUCCAUUAGAUUGUGGGUGAUAGAAAAUGUGAUAGGUCCACAGCACAUGAUGUCUCGCAGUCCACUCAUAGACAAGAUGGUUGUAAAAAUGUGAACCGUUGUCACUUUGCAGCUCCACGGGAGGUUGGUAGAUGGCUAACAGGUCUUCCAGUGCUGUACAGGUAUCCUUUGCAGUGGCCUUGGCGUAGGCCCAGACGAACAUCAUUCCGGUGAUCGCUUCCACUGCUACAAACACAUACUGUCACUUUCUGGGGGUGCAGGGGAGCAGGCCUAUAAAGUCAAAUUGCCAAACUUGCCAUUUUACCUUUCCAUCGCGUAACAACAAAGGGGUAGUUGAGGCAGGGGUCAGUCGAGCUUUGACCUCCUGACAGGUAAUGCAGGAGUUGACUAAUUCCUGCUCUUCCUUUUUAGUUAGGUGAAUGCCCCAGGUGGCUGCUAGGUGAGCAGUGCCACCGCGGCCAGGGUGCCCAUGCUGCCAAUGCAGUUAUUCUGCGGCUAGCGCUCCAAGGGUCUGCCAGAGGGAGGGGCUGGGUGGUUUCUCUGGGGGUGAUUGAGUCUCUACUUCAGCAACAAGGGUUUUUGUGCUGCCUUUGGCUAGCUUAUCCACUUGCCUGUUCCACUUUGCCUCAGACCCCUCAGCUUUUCUGCUCCAUGUGCUGCAUUGACAUGUUGUAUGUAUGGGAAGGCCUCCCUGUGCCAUUUUCCACAAGGCCUCCCACUUUUCAUGGCUCCAGAUGUCUCUUCCCCGCCUUUUGAAGUUUUCCCUUUUCCGCAAGGGUAGCCACUUGGUGCAACCCCCCACUACCUUCCAUGAAUCGCAGUAGAUAUAAAUGGGCCUUGUAGGGUGGCCUAGUCCCUCUACCAGUUCAUACUUGGCUACUCUGACUACAGUGGCUAGCUCAGCAUGUUGCGCACUGACCACCUCCCCCUAGUGUGAGUUGCUUACCAUCUCCGUAUGGCAGCCCUCCUCCAGGUAUGACCUUUGGCUGAGCUGUCGGUAAACCAGACUUCUAUGUCUUCUGAAAUGUUCAUGUUGGGUGAAAAGGGAGGUGCUUCUUUGAUGGGAUAUAGCUCAUCAGAGCUGGCUGCAUCUGGGUAUACGUUAAUCGUGCUUUCUGUGAUCUUUUCCACUAGCGCCAGAUGCUCCUUUGGGGUUACCCGCUGAGCCUGACUUAAAAUAUAAUAGAUCCAUUUUUGCACUGUUGUUUCUUGGGCUUUUCCCCGUGGCGGGAGGUGUCAGUCAGACAAUGCCAUUCCCAGGAUGGGCACUGGGGUGGUUAUGACAGUGGGUAGGCUCCCCUCUCAGGGCCUCUGUGGCUUCUAAAGCUGCGGCUGCUGCACACAGUAUUUGUUUUAGCAGGGUGUAUUGGGCUUCAGUCCCUUUCCAGCCUCUGCUUCAAAACCCAAGGGAUUUUCCCUCUGUCUCAGGUGUAUCCCUCUGCCAUAAACUUCAGUGGGGUCCCCUGUCAGACACAUUUACAUGGAGCCAAAGCUCCCCUUCUGGGCGCUGUGCUGCUAGGGAGGUGUGGGUGGUUACUGCCUCCUUGAGGGCCCGAAUGGCAUGUUGGUGCUCGGGGCUCCAUUCCCACUGUGUCUUUUUCUUAAACAAAUUAUACAGAGGUCGGGCCAACAUGCUAAACUCGGGGACAUGCAGGCAUCAGAAGUGAAACACUCCCAGCUGGGCUUGCAGUUCUUUUACAUUGUUGGGGGCAGGGGUAUCUACCAGGCCCUGCAGCUCUUUAGCCAGUAUGGUGGGUCCACCUUGCUUCCAUUGGAUUCCCAGGAAUUCACACUGGGCCCCAACUUCUUGGAUCUUUUUGUUGGACAGUGUGAACCCAAACACCUGCACCUUCUCCUUUAGGGACUCAAAAGCACAAAUGAUUAAUUCCCGGUCUUGGCCUCCCACCAUGACAUUGUCGACAUACUACCAAACAUGCACCUCCAAAUGACCUAAUUGGACUUCAUGGACCAACUAGCACUCCAUGGGCCAAGGUGGGGCUGUGCACCCAACCCUGGGGCAGAACUGUGUAGGUGUACUGCUGUCUCAGCCAUGUGAAGGCAAACAAAGGCCAGUGAUCUUCAUGGGUGGGGAUAGCCCGAUGUUCCAUGACCUCACUGGCCCUGCCAGCCAUGAAGGGGGUACACCUCCUGAGGCAACACAACCCAUCCAGGACAUUAUCCACCGGCAGCUGGAGGAUGGAACCAUCAUUCAAACUCAUUCCCUUGACAACAACCCGGUGUGGCCGGUACAUAAACCAAAUGGGGUUUGGCAAUUAGCUGUUGAUUUUAGGGCUUUGAAUGCCAACACUGACCAUCUGACGAUCGCGGUCCUAUCCAUGCCUGCACUAACGGAAAGCAUUAAGUGUUACGGCCCCCAGUGGAUGGGAUCCGUGGACAUUAAAGGCAUAUUCUUUGCUAUCCCCACGAAGAUCACUGGCCUUUGUUUGUCUCUGAUAUCCCACUAUACAGACACUGCCAUACCCUUUUGGGAAGGUGGGGGGAGGGUGCUCGACUGACUGCACCACUUGUACCUUUCUCUUGAGGGAGGUGAUUGCCUGUGCAACUAGUAUUUUCCCCUCCCGAUGCUCUAGUAUCUCCAGGUGGUUUUGUUCUGCUCUGGCCGCUGCGCAAGCCACGCUACUAGAAUACUUUUCUUCCCUUGAUUCCCUCUCAAGCUGGGUUAUUCACUCUUUUAGGGAUUGGUUCUCCUCAUGAAACUGAGUGGCCUCCUCCACCCCCAGUCUUAAGCAAGUUGCCAACAGCCAAGACAAGCAUCCUUUCUUGGGUCUACCCUUCUGCAUGGCAGCGAACGCGGCCCACUGACAAGGUACUGUGGCGGGAUCACUCCAGGUACAUCACGAACAGGUCUAGGAAGGUGAUACUUCCCCUCUAUGUGGUAUUGGUCAGGCCACAGCUGGAGUACUGCAUACAGUUUUGGACGCUGCACUUCAAGAGGGAUGUGGAUAACCUGGAAAGGGUUCAGAGGAGGGCUACUCAUAUGGUUGAGGGCCUACAGGUCUGGCUCAGCUGUCACUUCACAGUCAUCAGUACCCUGUGAUGGUCACCCCCAGCAUCAGGACCUGCCUGGGGAGAACCCUUAAGGAUGCCACGCAGGCCAAGUAUGUUGGUGACCUGAAGGAGAAACCUGAUCAGAGAAAAGUCUUUCAGGUCACUUCAAAGUGGGAUGCUAACAAAUUCAUGCCCCACAGGAACUUCAUGCACUUCACAGACUGGUGCGUCACAGCCUGUCUCAGCUGCUUUCCAGUCAAUGGCACUGUCCAAUACAGCUGUAGAGACAAGAGGUGCCAGAGAUAUGGCAGAGGGAAUCCCUGAGAGGAAGACCCUGCCUCACACCACAUGUGGCUGUAAGCCCCAUGUGAGAGCCUGGGAACUCUGCCAUGAUGCCAUACAGAACCAGUUGGUGAAAGCCAUCUCAGGGUCAGUUAGGAUAGUAGCUGUGAACUAUGUUGUCCCAGACUACCACAGCCAGCUGCACCUGAACUUUGUGGUAACAGACAAGGACAACAAAAAGAUGAUUGAUGUGACCAUCCCACUCAGGAAAAAGUGGCAGGCUUUCACUGAAGCCCAGGAGCAAAAGCUGUCCAAGUACAGGCCACUAGCUGAUUCCUUGAGGGAGAAGGGGUACAAUGUAAUGGUGCAGACAGUGAUCUUUAGGUAGUUGAAACAUGGGACACAAGCACUGAGAGCAUCUUACAAGCCUGCCAAAGUACCUUGCUGCUAUAUUAAAUCAUCUGAUGGUUCUCCAAUAUGAAGACAGAUAGCUGAGACCACCUACGAGAUGCAAGACCAAGAGGAUGGACUGAAACCCCCCAUGCACACCAUACACUCACAAAUUCUAUUAAUGCCCUUGAAUACUACUCACACUCACAAUUGUAUACCAUAUGUUAAAAUCAUUGUGUAACAAUGUUUUACAACCCUACAACUCUGUACUGAUGUGGUUAUCCUGCAUAGGGUCUUGUUUCUCUUUACUCUACAGCAGGGCUUUCAACUUUUUUCCAUAUGUGUACUCCCAGCAGCUGAAUGAGGAGCUGGGGGGAAAGGAGGGUGUACGCAACCAAACACAGAGUGGGGUGGGGUGGCAGUGUGUGGCUGGAUGUGGAGCGGCGGUAGUGCAGGGUGGCUUUGGCUUCUGCCAUAUACAAACUUCCCUCCCUGCCCUUUGCAUCUGGCUGGCCAGGUAGUGCUUGUGUGGCCUGCAGAGGGGUGCCACUGCUUUUGCCCCCCCCUUGCCCCGCACCUCAAAUUCCCACAGCCCAGAAAGCAAUAGUGGCCCUGUGGUGACAGUGGUAGUGGAGGUAGAUGGGUGUGACAGGGUGCUUUCCCAGGGCUAGAUCUCGAGUUAGCCCACCCUCCUGUCUAGGACAGUCUGCCCUGACUCACCUUCACCAGGGAGGUAACUGGCCUGGAAUAUCUUGGGGGUUGUUCCACUACAAACAGCCCUGCCAGGCCACCCUUCCCUGGCAGGGUGCAGUUUCAGGUCAUGCCAUGACUAAGAGCCUCCUGCCAUCCCCAUAGCUCCUGCCCUUACCUCCAAGAUGUUCACCGAGCAGUAGGUCAGCCAGAUAAUGUUACUCCCUCGGCAGCUGGCAGCAAACUGCUGCCCCUGCCUGGCUUUCCUAAGUUUGAAAAUAACCGCCUUAAUAAAGCACCUGCCAGCUGCCUGCCUCCUGCCCUUAAAGUAGCAGGCACCCAAAGGUGCACUUCCACAAUGGGCAAACAGGCUCCCCAUCCCUGUCCACUUUCCUGUGCUGGCAGGAAAGUGCUGGCAACCACAGGUGAG